GAUGAAGAACGUAGCGAAAUGCGAUAAGUAGUGUGAAUUGCAGAAUUCCGUGAAUCAUCGAAUCUUUGAACGCACAUUGCGCCUUCUGGUAUUCCGGAAGGCAUGCCUGUUCGAGAGUCAUUAACAACCGUUUCGAUCCCUUUCUUUCAGAAAUUACAAAGAGGAAAAGGGUUUGGUUAUGGUGGAGGAGGGAAAGGGAGCGUUUAGCCUGUAAAAAAAGAGGCUGUGUUCCGCCUCCCCCCCAAAAUUGUACAGGCGGUCGUGUGCGCCCACGCAUCGUGGUGUUGUAAAAGCUGCCACGGCACUUUUCACCUGUGCAGUGCGAGAUUGGCCAGCCGGUUUAAAAACCCCUCCAAACAAUCAAAGGUUGACCUCGGAUCAGGUAGGGAUACCCGCUGAACUUAAGCAUAUCAAUAAGCGGAGGA
RNAcentral lists this unclassified non-coding RNA (425 nucleotides) under soil metagenome. RNAcentral's name for it is "partial contains 5.8S ribosomal RNA, internal transcribed spacer 2, and large subunit ribosomal RNA". The stretch from base 1 to 120 matches the Rfam family "5.8S ribosomal RNA", at positions 35 to 154 of the family's 154-position model. The record is from RNAcentral.